This 253-nucleotide ribosomal RNA is filed under the name uncultured bacterium. Its description in RNAcentral is "partial 16S ribosomal RNA". It matches the Rfam family "Bacterial small subunit ribosomal RNA", at positions 524 to 776 of the family's 1533-position model. The record is from RNAcentral.
UACGGGGGGGACUAGUGUUAUUCGGAAUGACUGGGCGUAAAGGGUGUGUAGGCGGUCUUGUAAGUUGAAAGUGAAAUCUCAAAGCUUAACUUUGAAAGUGCUUUCAAAACUGCUCGACUAGAGUGUGAGAGAGGAUAGUGGAAUUUCUAGUGUAGAAAUAAAAUCCAUAGAGAUUAGAAGGAACACCGAAAGCGAAGGCAACUAUCUGGCUCAAAACUGACGCUGAUACACGAAAGCAUGGGGAGCAAACAGG